RNAcentral lists this ribosomal RNA (560 nucleotides) under uncultured bacterium. RNAcentral's name for it is "partial 16S ribosomal RNA". It matches the Rfam family "Bacterial small subunit ribosomal RNA", at positions 355 to 900 of the family's 1533-position model. The record is from RNAcentral.
UAGGGAAUCUUCCACAAUGGACGCAAGUCUGAUGGAGCAACGCCGCGUGAGUGAAGAAGGUUUUCGGACCGUAAAGCUCUGUUGUUGGUGAAGAAGGAUAGAGGUAGUAACUGGCCUUUAUUUGACGGUAAUCAACCAGAAAGUCACGGCUAACUACGUGCCAGCAGCCGCGGUAAUACGUAGGUGGCAAGCGUUGUCCGGAUUUAUUGGGCGUAAAAGCGAGCGCAGGCGGAAGAAUAAGUCUGAUGUGAAAGCCCUCGGCUUAACCGAGGAAUUGCAUCGGAAACUGUUUUCUUGAGUGCAGAAGAGGAGAGUAGAAACUCCAUGUGUAGCGGUGGAAUGCGUAGAUAUAUGGAAGAAUACCAGUGGCGAAGGCGGCUCUCUGGUCUGCAAACUGACGCUGAGGCUCGAAAAGCAUGGGUAGCGAACAGGAUUAGAUACCCUGGUAGUCCAUGCCGUAAAACGAUGAGUGCUAAGUGUUGGGAGGCUUCCGCCUCUCAGUGCUGCAGCUAACGCAUUAAGCACUCCGCCUGGGGGAGUACGACCGCAAAGGUUGAAAC